UUCGUCUUUCUGAAGGUUACUCUCUCUCUUACCUUUCAAAUAUAUGUUUUUUGGCCUCUGGCGCUUUCUUGGUUCCAUUUAGUGUCAACGCGCCGUCUCUUCUCCGCAAACAACAGCAUGCUGGGGGGGGGACACUAGCUGGUCUCAACCAGAGGCGGGUACUGUGUUUCUGUGGCAUCUCGUCCUUGAAUUUCUUUUAUUGAGUCGGUUCUUUGCAUUUUUCGGUCCAGGCCAAUCCAGUGGCAUAUUUCCCUCAUUGACUGCAGGCUUGAAGGAGAGAAGGAGUGCCACUGCGAGCGGUCCAAGAUGAGGUGCAAAAAGCGCAAGAAAUGUUGACCCACGACUAGACAGUGCGCACAAGCCGGUUAAUAAACGUCCACGUAUCGUUAUAUAUUUACAGGCAGGCACGAUCACACACAAAUAUACACAUUGAGGACCGGAUACGUUUUCUAGUGCUAUCAUACUCCAGAAAACAUAGGCAAAUGCGCAGUGUCUGGGGCAGUGGCAGAACGCGAGAUACCGUGCGCAGAAAAGCAUCGACGCUGGUUUUGCGCGACCCAGUAUCUGCUGGGAAACGUCAUAUAGCGUAAAUAGAAUAGAAUUGGUACAGUUCUGACUUCAUUGUGACCGCCGUAGCGUGUGGAGAAGUCCCUUUAUCUCGUAGCCCCCUCUGAGCACUGUAGGGUGUUCUUCGCCGCUGCAGCGUGCAUGGGUACAUCUUGCUCGGAGUCACGAUUUAUCACUCCUUAUCUGGGUGUCUGUACGUCUACAGCUUUAUCAUGCGCCAGUUUCUUGUGUCAAACGUCGUCUCCGUGUCGCGUUGCCUUUAAGUGGCACAGCCCGUGUGUUCCUGUCUCUAUUCGUCAUUUUCUCAACUCAGGUGUCUGCCUUUGUUCAUGACGACUAAAUACAUGUGCUUCCUGGUCGUUUCUUAUACUUCAUCUAUACUGAAUAUUCAUAUGUGUUUGUGUCGGCAGAGGUGUGUCGUGUUUCUCUGUCACUCAUUAAAACAUUUUCAUCACCCGCCAUCAAAGGGGAUCUCGCUCAAAAGGCCCAGGAAAAACGAACGUUGAAUGUGAAUGGCGAUUGCAGGGGCACACCUCUCUGUGGUAAUGACCAUUGACAGCAUAGACGCUUAUACUUAGGCAUGCAUGGCUUAAUCUUUACG
Molecule: long non-coding RNA, 1168 nt
Filed under: Toxoplasma gondii VEG
Lineage: Eukaryota; Apicomplexa; Conoidasida; Eucoccidiorida; Sarcocystidae
Source: RNAcentral